This 1461-nucleotide ribosomal RNA is filed under the name Burkholderia sp. CJ1. RNAcentral's name for it is "bacterial SSU rRNA". It matches the Rfam family "Bacterial small subunit ribosomal RNA". The record is from RNAcentral. Lineage: Bacteria; Pseudomonadati; Pseudomonadota; Betaproteobacteria; Burkholderiales; Burkholderiaceae.
CGGCGGCUGACUGACCAUGCAGUCGAACGGCAGCACGGGGGCAACCCUGGUGGCGAGUGGUGAACGGGUGAGUAAUACAUCGGAACGUGUCCUGCAUUGGGGGAUAGCCCGGCGAAAGCCGGAUUAAUACCGCAUACCCUCUACGGAGGAAAGGGGGGGAUCUUACGACCUCCCGCUACAGGGGCGGCCGAUGGGACAUUAUCUAUCUGGUGGGUUAAAGGCCUACCAAGGCGACGAUUUGUAGCUGGUCUGAGAGGACGACCAGCCACACUGGGACUGAGACACGGCCCAGACUCCUACGGGAGGCAUCAGUGGGGAAUUUUGGACAAUGGGCGAAAGCCUGAUCCAGCAAUGCCGCGUGUGUGAAAAAGGCCUUCGGGUUGUAAAGCACUUUUGUCCGGAAAGAAAACCUCCGCCCUAAUAUGGUGCUCGGGAUGAUCGUACCGGAAGACGGCCCGGUGAUCAACGGCUGAACCCCUCCUUAAUAAUACGUAGGGUGCAAGCGUUAAUCGGAAUUACUGGGCGUAAAGCGUGCGCAGGCGGUCCGCUAAGACAGAUGUGAAAUCCCCGGGCUUAACCUGGGAACUGCAUUUGUGACUGGCGGGCUAGAGUAUGGCAGAGGGGGGUAGAAUUCCACGUGUAGCAGUGAAAUGCGUAGAGAUGUGGAGGAAUACCGAUGGCGAACGGCAGCCCCCUGGGCCCAAUACUGACGCUCAUGCACGAAAGCGUGGGGAGCAAACAGGAUUAGAUACCCUGGUAGUCCACGCCCUAAACGAUGUCAACUAGUUUGUAUGGGGAUUCAUUUCCUUAGUAACGUAGCUAACGCGUGAAGUUGACCGCCUGGGGAGUACGGUCGCAAGAUUAAAACUCAAAGGAAUUGACGGGGACCCGCACAAGCGGUGGAUGAUGUGGAUUAAUUCGAUGCAACGCGAAAAACCUUACCUACCCUUGACAUGUAUGGAAUCCUGCUGAGAGGUGUGAUUGCCCGAAAGGGAGCCAUAACACAGCUGCUGCAUGGCUGUCGUCAGCUCGUGUCGUGAGAUGUUGGGUUCAGUCCCGCCACGAGCGCAACCCUUGUCCGUGUCUGUUACGCACGAGCUCUUUAGGGAGACUGCCGGUGACAAACCGGAGGAAGGUGGGGAGGACGUCAAGUCCUCAUGGCCAUUAUGGGUAGGGCUUCGCAGGUCAUACAAUGGUAGGAACAGAGGGUCGCCAACCCGCGAGGGGGAGCCAAUCCCAGAUAGCCGAUCGUAUUCCGGAUCGCACUGUGCAACUUCAGUGCGUGCAGCUGGAAUCGCGCGUAAUCGCGGUUCAGCAUGACGCGGUGAGUACGUGCCCGGGUCUUGUACACACCGCCCGUCACACCAUGGGAGUGGGUUUUACCAGAAGGGGCUAGUCUAACCGCAAGGAGGACGGUCACCACCGUAGGAUUCAUGAGCUCGGGCGAAGUCGAACAUCGUG